CAAGUUGAGGCACUUCCGACUUCGCGCCCGGGGAACUACGGCUGCCCCUGCUGGCGGGACCCAGGGCUGAUAGAAACAGGUCCCGCCUCCACGUGCACCCACACACUUUUCCUGCAUUAUGAAGCUGAGCAGCCUCUCCCUGCUCGCUGUGACCGUCCUCCUUUGCCUCCACAUGGCCCAGCCUGGAGUCGGAAAAGCUGUACCUAAACCAGGAUACUGCCCGGAGUUUACUCUUUCCUGCCCUUUCGCCAUGUUUCCUAAGUGCCGGCGUGACAGAAGUUGCCAGGAGAGCAAGAAGUGCUGCUACUACAACUGCCGACAUCAGUGUAUGGACCCGUGGUGGUCUCUGGACUGAGAUGGAAACCUCUUUCUAACCAGGCCUGAGGAGAUGCUGCAGGCUCAGACAUAGAUAACUGGUCUCCAAUUCUUCCAAGGCUUGCUUUUGGCAAGAGUUAAAUGCUUACUAAUAUAACAACAAAACAAAGAAAUAAAGCAUCAUCUAUUUGAAACUCCA
Molecule: long non-coding RNA, 514 nt
Organism: Microcebus murinus (gray mouse lemur)
Lineage: Eukaryota; Metazoa; Chordata; Mammalia; Primates; Cheirogaleidae
Source: RefSeq, a predicted model, not a curated record